GACGAACGCUGGCGGCGUGCUUAACACAUGCAAGUCGAACGGAAAGGCCUGCUUUCCCUUGUGGUUUGCGGGUACUCGAGUGGCGAACGGGUGAGUAACACGUGAGUGAUCUGCCCCCAACUUGGGUAUAAGCCUGGGAAACUGGGUCUAAUUCCCGAUAGGACUGCAGGGUGGUGCCUGUGGUGGAAAACGAUUUUCUAGUGGUUGGGGAUGAGCUCGCGGCCUAUCAGCUUGUUGGUGGGGUAAUGGCCUACCAAGGCGGCGACGGGUAGCCGGCCUGAGAGGGUGGACGGCCACAUUGGGACUGGGAUACGGCCCAGACUCCUACGGGAGGCAGCGGUGGGGAAUAUUACACAAUGGGCGGAAGCCUGAUGCAGCGACGCCGCGUGGGGGAUGACGGCCUUCGGGUUGUAAACUCCUUUCGACCGCGAGGAAGCCACCUGGUUGGAAGGGUGGUGACGGUAGUGGUAGAAGAAGCACCGGCUAACUACGUG
RNAcentral lists this ribosomal RNA (494 nucleotides) under uncultured bacterium. RNAcentral's name for it is "partial 16S ribosomal RNA". It matches the Rfam family "Bacterial small subunit ribosomal RNA", at positions 28 to 507 of the family's 1533-position model. The record is from RNAcentral.